This is an RNA transcript of Nomascus leucogenys (northern white-cheeked gibbon), 3538 nucleotides long. It is a transcript of the gene named protein phosphatase 1 regulatory subunit 14B pseudogene, with no coding region annotated. The record is from RefSeq and is a predicted model, not a curated record. The transcript has a single exon. Lineage: Eukaryota; Metazoa; Chordata; Mammalia; Primates; Hylobatidae.
GCCCGGGGGCACCGCAUGCUGCAGCUGCCCCCGGGCACCCCCGUCGCCGCCCUCGCCGCAGAGCCGCGCUGAGCGAGCCGGCUAGCUAAGCGGAGCCGGCUAGCUAACCCGAGCCAGCCGGCGGGCGUCCCGGAGGCAGCGGCGCAGGGAGGGGCCCGACGCGCGCACGUGGCCCCCGCGGCAGCCUCGGCUGACAGCGGCACGACGGGGCCGGGGGGGGGGGGGGGGGGGCGGCAGUGGCUGCCCAGGACCACGCGUCCACUUUCAGAGCCCCCCCGCGGGGCCGAAGGAGAGGGCCCGGGCGGUGCGGAUAAUGAGGGCCCAGUGAGGCGCCAAGGGAAGGUCACCGUCAAGUAUGACCGCAAGGAGCUACGGAAGCGCCUCAACCUAGAGGAGUGGAUCCUGGAGCAGCUCACGCGCCUCUACGACUGCCAGGAAGAGGAGAUCCCAGAACUGGAGAUUGACGUGGAUGAGCUCCUGGACAUGGAGAGUGACGAUGCCCGGGCUGCCAGGGUCAAGUAGCUGCUGGUUGACUGUUAAAAACCCACAGAGGCCUUCAUCUCUGGCCUGCUGGACAAGAUCCUGCCCAUGCAGAAGCUGAGCACACCCCAGAAGAAGUGAGGGUCCCCGACCCAGGCGAACGGUGGCUCCCAUAGGACAAUCGCUGCCCCCCGACCUCGUAGCAACAGCAAUACCGGGGGACCCUGCGGCCAGGGCUCCUCAUGCCCCUGGCCCAGGGGUCUCUUCCCCUACCCCCUCAGUUUUCCACUUUUGGGGUUUUUUGUUAUUAAACUGAUGGGACUUUUUGUGUUUUUAUACUGACUCUGCGGCACGGGUCCUUUAAUAAAGCUAGGAUACGCCUUUGGUGCAGCUCAAAAAAAAAAAAAAAAUGAUUUCCAGCGGUCCACAUUAGAGUUGAAAUUUUCUGGUGGGAGAAUCUGUACCUUGUUUCUUUAUAGGCCAAAGACCGCAAUCCUUCAGUAACACCAGAGUAAGAACUUGAGGAGAAAUUGUGAAGCUACACAGUAUUUGUUUUCUAAUACCUCUUGUCAGUCAUUCUAAAUCUCUUUAUUUAAAAAUAUAUAUAUACAGUAUUGAAUGCCUACUGUGUGCUAGGUACAGUUCUAAGCGCUUGAGUUACAGCAGUGAACGAAAUAAAGGUGCCUACCCUCAUAGAACAUAGAUUCUAGCAUGGUAUCUACUGUAUCAUACAGUAGAUACAAUAAGUAAGCUAUAUUGAAUAUUAGAAUGUGGCAGAUGCUAUGGAAAAAGAGUCAAGCCAAGUAAAGACAAUUGUUUAGGGUACCAGUUGCAAUUUUAAAUAUGGUCAUCAGAGCAGGCCUCACUGAAGUGACACGACAUUUAAGCAUAAACAUGGAGGAGGAGGAAUAAGCCUGAGCUGUCUUAGGCUUCCGGGGCAGCCAAGCCGUUUCUGUGGCACUAGGAGCCUGGUGUUUCCGAUUCCACCUCUGAUAACUGCAUUUUCUCUAAGGCAUGGGAGGGAAGUUUUUCUCCUAUUGUUUUUAAGUUUUAACUCCAGCUAGGCCAGCCUUGUCAUAGUGUUAUCUAAUCUUUAUAGCAAAUAUAUGAGGUAGCAGUAACAUUAUGCCCAUUUCUCACAGAGGCACUACUAGGUGAAGGAGUUUGCCUGAGGUUAUACAACCAGGAAGUAGCUGAGCCUAGAUUCCUUCCACCCACCCAUGGCCCUGCUCAUAUUCCACCUGCCUCUAAUUUACCUCUUUUCCUUCCAGACCAGCAUUCUCGAAACUGGAGGACUCCUUUGAGGCCCUCUCCCUAUACCUGGGGGAGCUGGGCAUCCCGCUGCCUGCAGAGCUGGAAGAGUUGGACCACACUGUGAGCAUGCAGUACGGCCUGACCCGGGACUCACCUCCCUAGCCCUGGCCCAGCCCCCUGCAGGGGGGUGUUCUACAGCCAGCAUUGCCCCUCUGCGCCCCAUCCCUGCUGUGAGCAGGGCCGUCCAGGCUUCCUGUGGAUUGGCGGCCUGUUUAGAAGCAGAACAAGCCAUUCCUACUACCUCCCCAGGAGGCAAGUGGGCGCAGCACCAGGGAAAUGUAUCUCCACAGGUUCUGGGGCCUAGUUACUGUCUGUAAAUCCAAUACUUGCCUGAAAGCUGUGAAGAAGAAAAAAACCCCUGGCCUUUGGGCCAGGAGGAAUCUGUUACUCAAAUCCACCCAGGAACUCCCUGGCAGUGGAUUGUGGGAGGCUCUUGCUUACACUAAUCAGCGUGGCCUGGACCUGCUGGGCAGGAUCCCAGGGUGAACCUGCCUGUGAACUCUGAAGUCACUAGUCCAGCUGGGUGCAAGAAGACUUCAAGUGUGUGGACGAAAGAAAGACUGAUGGCCAGGAGGCACUCAAAGGGUGUGAAAAAGUCAGUGAUGCUCCCCCUUUCCACUCCAGAUCCUGCCCUUCCUGGAGCAAGGUUGAGGGAGUAGGUUUUGAAGAGUCCCUUAAUAUGUGGUGGCACAGGCCAGGAGUUAGAGAAAGGGCUGGCUUCUGUUUACCUGCUCACUGGCUCUAGCCAGCCCAGGGACCACAUCAUGUGAGGGGAAGCCUGCACCUCAUGUUUUCAAGCUUAAUACUGGAGACUGGCUGAGAACUUAUGGACAACAUCCUUUCUGUCUGCAACAAACAGUCACAAGCACAGGAAGAGGCUGAGGGACUAGAAAGAGGCCCUGCCCUCUAGAAAUCUCAGAUCUUGGCUUCUGUUACUCAUACUCUGGUGGGCUCCUUAGAUGCCUAAAACAUUUUGCCUAAAGCUAGAUGGGUUCUGGAGGACAGUGUGGCUUGUCACAGGCCUAGAGUCUGAGGGAGGGGAGUGGGAGUCUCAGCAAUCUCUUGGUCUUAGCCUUGUGGCAACCAUUGCUCACUCUUCAACAUGCCUGGUUUAGGCAGCAGCUUGGGCUGGGAAGAGGUGGUGGCAGAGUCCCAAAGCUGAGAUGCUGAGAGAGAGAGCUCCCUGAGCUGGGCCAUCUGACUUCUACCUCCCAUGUUUGCUCUCCCAACUCAUUAGCUCCUGGGCAGCAUCCUCCUGAGCCACAUCUGCAGGUACUGGAAAACCUCCAUCUUGGCUCCCAGAGCUCUAGGAACUCUUCAUCACAACUAGAUUUGCCUCUUCUAAGUGUCUAUGAGCUUGCACCAUAUUUAAUAAAUUGGGAAUGGGUUUGGGGUAUUAAUGCAAUGUGUAGUGGUUGUAUUGGAGCAGGGGGAAUUGAUAAAGGAGAGUGGUUGCUAUUAUCUUGUUGUUAUAUCUAUUGGGUGGUAUGUGAAAUAUUGUACAUAGACCUGGUGAGUUGUGAGACCAGAUGUCAUCUCUCUGGUCAGAGUUUACUUGCUAUAUAGACUGUACUUACGUGUGAAGUUUGCAAGCUUGCUUUUAGGGCUGAGCCCUGGACUCCCAGCAGCAGCACAGUUCAGCAUUGUGUGGCUGGUUGUUUCCUGGCUGUCCCCAGCAAGUGUAGGAGUGGUGGGCCUGAACUGGGCCAUUGAUCAGACUAAAUAAAUUAAGCAGUUAACAUAA